Molecule: ribosomal RNA, 189 nt
Filed under: uncultured bacterium
Lineage: Bacteria
Description: partial 16S rRNA
Rfam family: Bacterial small subunit ribosomal RNA
Source: RNAcentral
CCUACGGGAGGCAGCAGUAGGGAAUAUUGGGCAAUGGAUGCAAGUCUGACCCAGCCAUGCCGCGUGCCGGAUGAAGGCCCUCAGGGUUGUAAACGGCUUUUAUUCGGGAAGAAGAGCACGGAUGCGUCUGUGUGUGACGGUACCGAAUGAAUAAGCACCGGCUAACUCCGUGCCAGCAGCCGCGGUAAU